This 472-nucleotide ribosomal RNA is filed under the name uncultured bacterium. RNAcentral describes it as "bacterial SSU rRNA". It matches the Rfam family "Bacterial small subunit ribosomal RNA", at positions 355 to 825 of the family's 1533-position model. The record is from RNAcentral.
UGGGGAAUUUUGGACAAUGGGCGCAAGCCUGAUCCAGCCAUGCCGCGUGAGUGAAGAAGGCCUUCGGGUUGUAAAGCUCUUUCGGCGGGGACGAAACGGUUCGUGACAACACCACGGACUAAUGACGGUACCCGCAUAAGAAGCACCGGCUAACUACGUGCCAGCAGCCGCGGUAAUACGUAGGGUGCAGGCGUUAAUCGGAAUUACUGGGCGUAAAGCGUGCGCAGGCGGUUUGUUAAGACAGGUGUGAAAUCCCCGGGCUUAACCUGGGAAUUGCGCUUGUAACUGGCAGGCUAGAGUGUGGCAGAGGGGGGUGGAAUUCCACGUGUAGCAGUGAAAUGCGUAGAUAUCGGGAGGAACACCUGUGGCGAAGGCGGCCACCUGGUUGGAUACUGACGCUGAGACGCGAAAGCGUGGGGAGCAAACAGGAUUAGAUACCCAAGUAGUCCCUGAGCGGGCUGGCAAGGCGCAU